CCGUAGGUGAACCUGCGGAAGGAUCAUUAAAA
This 32-nucleotide ribosomal RNA is filed under the name Trichophaea woolhopeia. RNAcentral's name for it is "partial 18S ribosomal RNA". The record is from RNAcentral. Lineage: Eukaryota; Fungi; Ascomycota; Pezizomycetes; Pezizales; Pyronemataceae.